RNAcentral lists this ribosomal RNA (429 nucleotides) under uncultured Enterobacteriaceae bacterium. Its description in RNAcentral is "bacterial SSU rRNA". It matches the Rfam family "Bacterial small subunit ribosomal RNA", at positions 355 to 774 of the family's 1533-position model. The record is from RNAcentral. Lineage: Bacteria; Pseudomonadati; Pseudomonadota; Gammaproteobacteria; Enterobacterales; Enterobacteriaceae.
CGGGGAAUAUUGCACAAUGGGCGCAAGCCUGAUGCAGCCAUGCCGCGUGUAUGAAGAAGGCCUUCGGGUUGUAAAGUACUUUCAGCGAGGAGGAAGGCGUUGUGGUUAAUAACCGCAGCGAUUGACGUUACUCGCAAAAGAAGCACCGGCUAACUCCGUGCCAGCAGCCGCGGUAAUACGGAGGGUGCAAGCGUUAAUCGGAAUUACUGGGCGUAAAGCGCACGCAGGCGGUCUGUCAAGUCGGAUGUGAAAUCCCCGGGCUCAACCUGGGAACCGCAUCCGAAACUGGCAGGCUAGAGUUUUGUAGAGGGGGGUAGAAUUCCAGGUGUAGCGGUGAAAUGCGUUAGAGAUCUGGAGGAAUACCGGUGGCGAAGGCGGCCCCCUGGACAAAGACUGACGCUCAGGUGCGAAAAGCGUGGGGAGCAAACA